Small nuclear RNA from Lolium rigidum, 98 nucleotides. Lineage: Eukaryota; Viridiplantae; Streptophyta; Magnoliopsida; Poales; Poaceae. The record is from RefSeq and is a predicted model, not a curated record.
GUUCCUUCCAGGACAUCCGAUAAAAUUGAAACGAUACAGAGAAGAUUAGCAUGACCCAUGCGCAAGGAUGACCCGAAAGAGAAAUUUCUUCAAAAUUU